Peromyscus maniculatus bairdii (prairie deer mouse) is the source of this 338-nucleotide non-coding RNA. The record is from RefSeq and is a predicted model, not a curated record. NCBI's taxonomy places the organism in Eukaryota, Metazoa, Chordata, Mammalia, Rodentia, Cricetidae.
CAGGAAGUACCUCCCUCUCUCGGGGAAGCUAGGAGCACUGCAGGAGAGAAGCUUAGCAGAGCUACCAAUUUCAUGGGCAUCUAUAGCAUCUGAUGAUGUGCUUCGGGCAGAAACCUGAAUAUGGGACUCUGUGGUUAAAAGUUUAUGACUAUAUACAGCCAUUGAAUUUCUUCCCUUGAGGGUAGUUCUUGCCAUCUGGAAGUUCCAUGCAAAUAUAUCCUCUUUAGACUUACAUCGUUGGAUUUCUAUUCCCUCAUCUGCAACGAGAGUGGUUAUGCUGGGUAACCUCCUAUCUUUGUUUAUCUAAGACUUACAAGACUCAUGAAAGGACACCACAG